UCCCAUCCAAGUACUAACCAGGCCCGCCCCUGCUUAGCUUCCAAGAUCAGAUGAGAUCAGGCGAGUUCAGGG
Molecule: small RNA, 72 nt
Filed under: Cricetulus griseus (Chinese hamster)
Lineage: Eukaryota; Metazoa; Chordata; Mammalia; Rodentia; Cricetidae
Source: RNAcentral